GAAGGAAGAGGAAGCAGCGAUGGAGCGCGUUCCACUAACACAAAAUGAUAAAAGAGGAAUUAAUUUAGAAUUCCAGAUUUAACCUCGAGGAUAUUCCUAAAACCCGGAAUUAUCCAUCACCACCACCACCCUAUUCUGUGUUUUACCUUAAUUAACCAAACACAUGCAUUCUUUCCAUAUCCCUUUUCUCUAUCCAUCAUAGUUCCAAUUUCCUUUGGCAUAACCAUUUUAUAUUUUCCGUUCUUCUCCUUAUUCCUCUUCUUCUCUUUUCUUCACUUUCUCCCUUCAUCCAUCCUUCCCUCCUCCCUGGACCGAGUCACGCGGUCAGGAUCGGCAUGACUCGGCGGUGCUCCCACUGCAGCAACAACGGCCACAACUCCCGCACCUGCCCGUCGCGGGGGGUGGGCGCCGGCGUCAAGCUGUUCGGGGUGAGACUGACGGAUGGAUCAAUCAUAAAGAAGAGUGCCAGUAUGGGAAACCUUAACCUCGCCUCCACACACCACCAUUCUUCUCCUUCUUCUUCCAACCUUGCCGCCUCCUCUCCCAAUCCAAGCUCUCCUUGCUCUGACCCGCCCCAUGAGCCCCAAGGUUACUUGUCCGAUGACCCCGCCCAUAUCUCCACCUUCGCUAACCGCCGCGGUGAAAGAAAAAAAGGUGUUGCGUGGACUGAAGAAGAACAUAGGCUGUUCUUAAUUGGUCUCCAGAAGCUGGGCAAAGGAGACUGGCGUGGGAUAGCACGUAAUUUUGUCGUAACAAGGACCCCUACUCAAGUAGCAAGUCAUGCCCAGAAGUAUUUUAUCCGACAAAGUCAUGCUACCAGGAGAAAGAGACGUUCCAGCCUUUUUGACAUGGUUCCGGAUAUGACUUCAGAUCCACCUUCUGUGCCAGAAGAACAAGUUCUGCUUCCACCUUCUGAGAACUCGCAACCUUGUAAUGGAAAAUCGCAGCCUUCACUAAAUCUCUCCCUCAAAUCAGAAUUUGAACCCAUGGAAACUACUUCUCAAGAAAACGUGGAACAGACCAAUGAAACUAUGAUGGGAUCAAACGGACUGACAUCAAUGGCUCCUCAUGGAUUCUUCCCCACUUAUUUACCUGUUCCAUUUCCCAUAUGGCCAUCAACUGCAACUCCUUUUGAAGAAGUUAAGGGAGGAGAGACAUCCCAUCAUCAGGUCCACAGGCCAAUCCCAGUCAUUGCCAAGGAACCUGUGAAUGUUGACGAACUCGUGGGAAUGUCUCAUCUCAGCAUUGGGGAAACACAGGUACGUGAUAGAGAGCCUUCCCCACUUUCCUUAAAGUUGUUAGGGGAACCCUCUAGGCAGUCAGCAUUCCAUGCAAAUGCUCCAGUUGGUGGUUCGGAUUUAAAAACUGGCAAGAACAAAGCAAUUCAAGCGGUUUGAGCUUUUAAGGUCUGGUGAAGAUAGCAGCAGAUUUAGUCAAGCACCGGAUUGUGUUUAACAAAUCACAGAAAUAUUGUUUACUAUGAGAUCUCUCGACAAGUUCUCCCAAAGUAUAUGAUCUUGUGAUGCUUUAGUGGCCAUGCUUGUUGCUUUCAACAGUGUCGUCCACACAGUGGAUUCUGUAGAUGAUUAGUAGAAUUGAUGCUUUUGCAGAACAAGAAUAACCCCUUAAAGCCACUGAGAAGUGAGAAAGCAACCUCAGCAAAACUCUCCAAGAUUGCAUCAAUUCUCACAGGCUCGAUUAUUCGACGAUGAGAAAAGGAAAAGGAAAGGAAACAACUGCUAUGCUUUUUCAGGUGCUGUGAGUGUGUGACAUGAAAUCCAUCUCACGUCCCUUUCAAUGUCAUUGGAUCUUCCUCGCUUUAGGAAAUAGGAGAUACAGACAGUGUUUUCUAGUGGUAUGAAAAUGAUCACCAAAACAGUGCUUUCUAGUACUAAUUAAAGCUUAUUUUGUUUUGUGUAGUUAAAAACAUAUAAAGGUUAGUUGAAGACUAAUAGUUUUGCUGAGGUUGAUGAUGGUGGGAUUCUUAUCAACAUAGAAGAUAGUGAUAAGAGAAAUAAAAGAAAAA
Vigna radiata var. radiata (mung bean) is the source of this 2026-nucleotide RNA transcript. It is a transcript of the gene named transcription factor MYBS3, with no coding region annotated. NCBI's taxonomy places the organism in Eukaryota, Viridiplantae, Streptophyta, Magnoliopsida, Fabales, Fabaceae. The transcript is spliced from 5 exons. The record is from RefSeq and is a predicted model, not a curated record.